GCCCCGGUGGCCGAAUGGGUAAUGCGGCCACCUGGUAGCGCCUUGGCGUGGGGACCCAAGGCGCGUGGGUUCGAAACCCGCAGGGGACAACAUUACAUCCGGAGCUAACUUCUCAGCUCCUAAAAUAAAGGGAUGUGAACUUGCCAAGUAGGUACCUUCGGGCGGACCUACUACCUGAUUUAGCUUAUUGUUUCUGGGCUGGAAAUCUGUAUCGCAUGUACCAAAUCCUGUCUCUCAUUAUGUUCCUGUUAUGUCUUGGCGUCGUUCAACACUAAGCAUUCCUCCUGUAUAACCAACUCUUGCCUGUAUUUAACAUCACACAAGGACUCAUCAUAAGCACUGCUUGCAUAUGAGUAUAAGGA
This 362-nucleotide small RNA is filed under the name Histoplasma capsulatum var. duboisii H88. Its description in RNAcentral is "Histoplasma capsulatum H88 hypothetical RNA". The record is from RNAcentral. Lineage: Eukaryota; Fungi; Ascomycota; Eurotiomycetes; Onygenales; Ajellomycetaceae.